AUUGAACGCUGGCGGCAUGCUUUACACAUGCAAGUCGAACGGCAGCGCGGGCUUCGGCCUGGCGGCGAGUGGCGAACGGGUGAGUAAUACAUCGGAACGUGCCCAGUAGUGGGGGAUAGCUCGGCGAAAGCCGGAUUAAUACCGCAUACGACCUGAGGGUGAAAGCGGGGGAUUUUCGGACCUCGCGCUAUUGGAGCGGCCGAUGGCAGAUUAGCUAGUUGGUGGGGUAAAGGCCUACCAAGGCGACGAUCUGUAGCUGGUCUGAGAGGACGACCAGCCACACUGGGACUGAGACACGGCCCAGACUCCUACGGGAGGCAGCAGUGGGGAAUUUUGGACAAUGGGCGAAAGCCUGAUCCAGCAAUGCCGCGUGUGUGAUGAAGGCCUUCGGGUUGUAAAGCACUUUUGGCGGGAACGAAAAGGACUGUGCCAAUACCACGGUUCGAUGACGGUACCCGCAGAAUAAGCACCGGCUAACUACGUG
This 484-nucleotide ribosomal RNA is filed under the name uncultured bacterium. RNAcentral's name for it is "partial 16S ribosomal RNA". It matches the Rfam family "Bacterial small subunit ribosomal RNA", at positions 29 to 507 of the family's 1533-position model. The record is from RNAcentral.